UCGUUAGCCAAUCAGCUGAUCUCGUAUGGCAGUUGUCAGUUCCCUACGCUGGGAUUCGUUGUGGAACGUUUCAAAUCCAUCCAGGCGUUUAUACCGGAGACCUUCUACAAGAUCAGAGUCCUCCAGGAGGUAGAGGAGGAAUCAGUAGAGUUCAGCUGGAAGAGGAAC
This is a long non-coding RNA of Oncorhynchus nerka (sockeye salmon), 168 nucleotides long. RefSeq lists it as uncharacterized. The transcript is spliced from 3 exons. The record is from RefSeq and is a predicted model, not a curated record. Lineage: Eukaryota; Metazoa; Chordata; Actinopteri; Salmoniformes; Salmonidae.